RNAcentral lists this ribosomal RNA (468 nucleotides) under uncultured bacterium. Its description in RNAcentral is "partial 16S ribosomal RNA". It matches the Rfam family "Bacterial small subunit ribosomal RNA", at positions 28 to 507 of the family's 1533-position model. The record is from RNAcentral.
GACGAACGCUGGCGGCGGGCUUAACACAUGCAAGUCGAACGGAAAGGCCCUGCUUGUGUGGGGUGCUCGAGUGGCGAACGGGUGAGUAACACGGGAGUAACCUGCCCUGGACGGGGGGAUAACUGCAGGAAACUGGGGCUAAUACCGGAUAGGAGCGCGUGCUGCAGGGGGGGGGUUGGAAAGUUUCGGCGGUGGGGGAUGUAGUCGCGGCUUAUCAGCUUGUUGGUGGGGUAGUGGCUUACCAAGGCUUUGACGGGUAGCCGGCCUGAGAGGGUGACCGGCCACAUUGGGACUGAGAUACGGACCAGACUCCUACGGGAGGCAGCAGUGGGGAAUAUUGCCCAAUGGGCGGACGCCUGAUGCAGCAACGCCGCGUGCGGGAUGACGGCCUUCGGGUUGUAAACCGCUUUCGCCUGUGACGAAGCGUGAGUGACGGUACUGGGUAAAGAAGCACCGGCUAACUACGUG